UGGGGAAUAUUGCACAAUGGGGGAAACCCUGAUGCAGCGACGCCGCGUGAACGAAGAAGGUAUUCGUAUCGUAAAGUUCUGUCCUAUGGGAAGAUAAUGACAGUACCAUAGAAGAAAGCUCCGGCUAAAUACGUGCCAGCAGCCGCGGUAAUACGUAUGGAGCGAGCGUUGUCCGGAAUUAUUGGGCGUAAAGGGUACGCAGGCGGUUUAAUAAGUCGAAUGUUAAAGAUCGGGGCUCAACCCCGUAAAGCAUUGGAAACUGAUAAACAUGAGUAGUGGAGAGGAAAGUGGAAUUCCUUGUGUAGUGGUGAAAUACGUAGAUAUUAGGAGGAAUACCAGUAGCGAAGGCGACUUUCUGGACACAAACUGACGCUGAGGUACGAAAGCGUGGGGAGCAAGCAGG
This 403-nucleotide ribosomal RNA is filed under the name bacterium. RNAcentral describes it as "partial 16S ribosomal RNA". It matches the Rfam family "Bacterial small subunit ribosomal RNA", at positions 355 to 776 of the family's 1533-position model. The record is from RNAcentral.